Branchiostoma belcheri (Belcher's lancelet) is the source of this 805-nucleotide long non-coding RNA. RefSeq lists it as uncharacterized. Lineage: Eukaryota; Metazoa; Chordata; Leptocardii; Amphioxiformes; Branchiostomatidae. The transcript is spliced from 3 exons. The record is from RefSeq and is a predicted model, not a curated record.
CCGCGCGUGACCUCGCACGAAAACGAGACCGCCGUUGGGUCACUCCCGGUCAGGUUUCCCAUUGAGGCGGCCUAACAAUGGAGUCUUCCACAGUCGAUAGCGAUACUCCAACUUCAACGGUGCAGCACCCGUCCUUCACUCCUGGGUGAAGCAGAAACCAGAGAGACCAGCUCCAAAGAAGAGAUGUUCUCCCACCAAGAAAAAGAAAGGAGCUUGUGGACUUAACAAAAUUGAUGAACCUGAGGACUCCUCCGCUUGUUGUUCGGAUCCUGGUCUCGACACCAACAUGGCUAUACUUCAACCUGACCUGGCAACAUCCCCAUCACCGACUGCACUGCCAUCACAGACCACAUCUUCACCAUGCUUACCUGACAAACUUUUUACCACCACUUGUACAGAACUACUGAAACUGUCAUGUUUAUUGAAGUGGCAUUGUAUUUACAUGUGUCUGAAGGUUACAAGAACAUGUACAUGUUUUUUCACAAAUAAAAAAAAUGAUGAGAAGCAACUUCAAGGAAGUGUUCCUAACUUACAUGUAUUUUGGAAUUUUGGGUACUCUCAUGUAUGUAAUCUACUCAUACAUGAUCUAGUGAAAAAAUGAAUCAUGGCUACAUGUUUCAAUGAGAAGCAAAUGGUGGAAAACCAACUUAAACUAUACAUGGUUUAUUAGGAAUGAAUUAAAUAGUGUUACUGAACUGUUUUCAGUUUCUGAUACAUGUACAUACUGUUAACACACAUCUGUUUCCUAGUACAUGUACUAGUAGUAGCUCUUUCCUUUUGUACUCAAUAAACACUACAUUGUAUU